UACGGAGGGGGCAAGCGUUACUCGGAAUUACUGGGCGUAAAGGGCUCGUAGGCGGCCAACUAAGUCAGACGUGAAAUCCCUCGGCUUAACCGGGGAACUGCGUCUGAUACUGGAUGGCUUGAGUGUGGGAGAGGGAUGCGGAAUUCCAGGUGUAGCGGUGAAAUGCGUAGAUAUCUGGAGGAAUACCGGUGGCGAAGGCGGCAUCCUGGACCGGCAUUGACGCUGAGGAGCGAAAGCUAGGGGAGCAAACGGG
RNAcentral lists this ribosomal RNA (253 nucleotides) under uncultured bacterium. RNAcentral describes it as "partial 16S ribosomal RNA". It matches the Rfam family "Bacterial small subunit ribosomal RNA", at positions 524 to 776 of the family's 1533-position model. The record is from RNAcentral.